GACGAACGCUGGCGGCGUGCUUAACACAUGCAAGUCGAACGGUGAAGCGCCUUCCCUUUUGGUGGGUGUGGAUGAGUGGCGAACGGGUGAGUAACACGUGAGUAACCUGCCCCCUUCUUCUGGAUAACCGCAUGAAAGUGUGGCUAAUACGGGAUAUUCUGGGUCUGUCGCAUGAUGGGUCUGGGAAAGAUAUUGUUUCGGUGGGGGAUGGGCUCGCGGCCUAUCAGCUUGUUGGUGGGGUGAUGGCCUACCAAGGCGGUGACGGGUAGCCGGCCUGAGAGGGUGGACGGUCACACUGGGACUGAGACACGGCCCAGACUCCUACGGGAGGCAGCAGUGGGGAAUAUUGCACAAUGGGCGCAAGCCUGAUGCAGCGACGCCGCGUGAGGGAUGGAGGCCUUCGGGUUGUGAACCUCUUUCGCCAGUGAAGCAGGCCUGCCUCGUUUGUGGGUGGGUUGACGGUAGCUUGAUAAGAAGCGCCGGCUAACUACGUG
RNAcentral lists this ribosomal RNA (494 nucleotides) under uncultured bacterium. RNAcentral describes it as "partial 16S ribosomal RNA". It matches the Rfam family "Bacterial small subunit ribosomal RNA", at positions 28 to 507 of the family's 1533-position model. The record is from RNAcentral.